UAACACAGAUAACACACAAACAUUGGUAUGUUUAUAAGAAACAUUUACAACAGUUGACUAGAAAAAGAUGUACAGAUAAAGUAUUAUUAAGUGAUACAUAUAUUGUCGGCAAAAGUGCAAUUGAUGUUUUUGUGUUUGAAGGAAAAAAUCACACCCUGUUUGUAGAAUACCUCAUUUAGGAUAUAAUGGAAUAUUGGAAUAAGAAACUUCUUGCAGAUGCUCUGACUGGAAAUGUAAACGAUGUGAAAAUAUGCCUAGAGAAUAAAGCAGACAUUGAAUAUCAAUCGGUAGGUAAAACAGUCUCAUUAGGUACAGUAGUAACAUCCAUAUUAGUACUAGAGCAAAUUAAUUAUGUACAGUAAAAAAAAACACACAACUACAGAUAACUUCAGAAUAUAGUUGAUCUUACUUGAGCAAUAUAAAUCACAUAACUACAUGUUACUUCAAAAU
Long non-coding RNA from Mytilus californianus (California mussel), 450 nucleotides. RefSeq lists it as uncharacterized. The record is from RefSeq and is a predicted model, not a curated record. NCBI's taxonomy places the organism in Eukaryota, Metazoa, Mollusca, Bivalvia, Mytilida, Mytilidae. The transcript has 4 exons.